UAUUUUGUACAGCUUCUAUAAAAUUUCGUAUGUUUGUUUAGGCUGUUAAUCUAGAGGCUGGAGUACAAAGAAGUGGCACAAUGAUGUGGGCUGAUGACAUUUAUAAUUAUCAAGGAAUCACCCCUACAUUCGCUCAGAAUUUAAUGAAACUGUCCCUUGGGAAGGAAGAACUGAUACCUUGAUAUCACGGUUUGUACAUCCUAUAUAUACGACAAAUUUUAGAACAUUAUAUAACGAAGAACCAGAUCGUCGUGGCCAUGUGAUGUGAAUAAAAGGACUUGAAUUUGAUGAUAUUUUUAUAAUGUUAGAUAACAUAACUAAGUAUCUUCACAGUAAGAUAGGAUGACAUGGUUUACAUGAUCUUAAUGUUGUUCACUCGAGUGAUGAUAUUAUAAGGAAAAGUGUAAUAUCACAGGAUAUUUAUGUUUAGUAACCAGUAAUUCAGAGAUUGGUAUUCAUGGUUACUAUAACGAGGCUGUAGAAACGCACCCUUUCUUCUUUGCAAAUGGUCCUGUAUUUAUGUCUAAGCCGAAACUGAACCUCUGAAUAAUUUAGAUUUAUUCUUGUUAUUUUCUAAAAUACUUAUCUACAGUAUACCAUAAGGAAUGAUACCGUAUCGCACCUAAUCAAGUGCCUUAAGAAACAUCAACAGGAUAUCACAGUAAUCCCUUAUCGACUGAUAUUUGUAGCCACUACAAUAUCUAUGACACUGGUAGUAAUUAUAAGAACAAUAAUGAUGUUCUAUAAGAGGAAAUGAUGAUUAGGAACAAAAACUUACAGGAGAUAUCAUGCGGUGGAUGGAUAAUAUGUAAAAAAUAUUAAGCAGUAUAUGAAUUUUCAUAUUGCGUAGAGAUAACAAAAUGAAUUUUAAAAAAUGUCGACAUGGUAAUAAGAAAUAGCAUCAUGACAAAGA
This is a long non-coding RNA of Bombus huntii, 913 nucleotides long. RefSeq lists it as uncharacterized. The transcript has 5 exons. Lineage: Eukaryota; Metazoa; Arthropoda; Insecta; Hymenoptera; Apidae. The record is from RefSeq and is a predicted model, not a curated record.